AUGGGGAGGGUCCUGGCAGCAGCAGGGUUAGCACCAUCCCAUUGGCACAUGCUACCUGCUGUGCCUGCAGUUCAAUCGGUCAUUCAUGUGCACAGUCAGCAGGUUCUGGCUGGCAGAAGUGAGGCAACAUGUGGGGCAAAGAUCACCCUCUCAAGGGCUUUGGAGUUGUUGGGGCUGGAUUUGAAUCCACGCUCUGCAUUUCCCAGCAGAAUGAUCAAGGUUAAGCUCCCCAAUCAAUCUGUUACUCCUCCAGCAAAACGGAGUUGUGAAGGGGUGCCUGGCACACAGAAGAUACUUAGAAUACGUCAGGUUGAAUUUUUCUUUCCCUCUAGGCUCUCUUCUCUUGUCCACCACCAUGUGAGAUGUGCCUUUCACCUUCCACCCAGGCUGGAGUAUAGGAGUGCGACCAUGAUUGUGAAGCCUCCCCAGAAACUGCCUGAAACAGCCUGGCACCUACAGUGGAUGCUGAGUCCAUCUUCCAUGAAUGAAUGCAAAGGCUUUGGAGGCAAUACACAGUAA
This 519-nucleotide long non-coding RNA is filed under the name Callithrix jacchus (white-tufted-ear marmoset). Its description in RNAcentral is "lncRNA (ENSCJAG00000074534.1)". The record is from RNAcentral. Lineage: Eukaryota; Metazoa; Chordata; Mammalia; Primates; Cebidae.